CGAACGGGUGAGUAACGCGUGAGGAACCUGCCUCAAAGAGGGGGACAACAGUUGGAAACGACUGCUAAUACCGCAUAAGCCCACGGCUCGGCAUCGAGCAGAGGGGAAAGGAGUGAUCCGCUUUGAGAUGGCCUCGCGUCCGAUUAGCUGGUUGGUGAGGUAACGGCCCACCAAGGCGACGAUCGGUAGCCGGACUGAGAGGUUGAACGGCCACAUUGGGACUGAGACACGGCCCAG
RNAcentral lists this ribosomal RNA (237 nucleotides) under uncultured bacterium. RNAcentral describes it as "partial 16S ribosomal RNA". It matches the Rfam family "Bacterial small subunit ribosomal RNA", at positions 99 to 334 of the family's 1533-position model. The record is from RNAcentral.